RNAcentral lists this ribosomal RNA (483 nucleotides) under uncultured bacterium. RNAcentral's name for it is "partial 16S ribosomal RNA". It matches the Rfam family "Bacterial small subunit ribosomal RNA", at positions 28 to 507 of the family's 1533-position model. The record is from RNAcentral.
GACGAACGCUGGCGGCGUGCUUAACACAUGCAAGUCGAACGCUGAAGCUCAGCUUUUGUUGGGUGGAUGAGUGGCGAACGGGUGAGUAACACGUGAGUAACCUGCCUCCUUCUUUGGGAUAACGCCCGGAAACGGGUGCUAAUACUGGAUAUUCACUGGUCUUCGCAUGGGGGUUGGUGGAAAGGGUUUUUCUGGUGGGGGAUGGGCUCGCGGCCUAUCAGCUUGUUGGUGGGGUGAUGGCCUACCAAGGCUUUGACGGGUAGCCGGCCUGAGAGGGUGACCGGUCACAUUGGGACUGAGAUACGGCCCAGAAUCCUACGGGAGGCAGCAGUGGGGAAGAUUGCACAAUGGGCGCAAGCCUGAUGCAGCGACGCCGCGUGAGGGAUGGAGGCCUUCGGGUUGUGAACCUCUUUCGCUCAUGGUCAAGCCGCAACAAUGGUUGUGGUGAGGGUAGUGGGUAAAGAAGCGCCGGCUAACUACGUG